CAUUAACAAAGAAAUACUAGGGUGUCAUUGUUAAGAGGAUAUAAAUCAGACAGGAGACCUGCAAACUUGACAAUGAUGGCAAUUCUGGAUGGCUUCAGAAGGCAUAUUCCGUUGAUUUCAGACCACUCAAAGUACCGCGCGCUGCUGCAGUCCAAGGGGCUCAUUAUAUUUCACCAUUGAAAAGGCAAAUAAUCUCGUAUGCAUCUGGUAACCAAGCUUGUACACUCGUUUAAGGAAGGUUCGGAGGAAUGGUCCAAGAAGGCGGUAGAGCUUGAGGAUUCUUGAAGACUUUAGACGUAAGUUCUAUUUGUAAUUUAUUUAUUCAACAAUGGCGAAUGAUGCACAGUACACUAAUUCCUCUUGUGAACAUGCAGUUUGGUUGUGGAAUUUCAAAAUUAUCUGUUUGUCUUAUGUCUUCAUGCAUGCUGGACGCAAAUGGAAGGUGUAUGAGGUGGCAAAGACGGUCUUUGAAAACAAUGACACAGAAACUAGAAAGUCUUUGCAAAGUGAUAAUGGUGGUAAAAAGUUGAUCAUUUUCUUGGCUUUCACUCUUCAUUUCAUCCAUCAAGCAUUCCUUUAUAUGUUUGCAUUGUUAUCUUGAGUUCUUGAUAUUUAUCAUCUACAUUAUGGGGUUGUGAUUUUCUUUUUAUCUAUGGCAAGUUUGUUCCUUUGAUAAAUAGUGUUGGAUGCUUUUUUAGUGGUUUUU
Sesamum indicum (sesame) is the source of this 706-nucleotide non-coding RNA. The record is from RefSeq and is a predicted model, not a curated record. NCBI's taxonomy places the organism in Eukaryota, Viridiplantae, Streptophyta, Magnoliopsida, Lamiales, Pedaliaceae.